RNAcentral lists this ribosomal RNA (450 nucleotides) under uncultured bacterium. RNAcentral describes it as "partial 16S ribosomal RNA". It matches the Rfam family "Bacterial small subunit ribosomal RNA", at positions 338 to 795 of the family's 1533-position model. The record is from RNAcentral.
CCUACGGGGGGCUGCAGUAAGGAAUAUUGGUCAAUGGAGGAAACUCUGAACCAGCCAUCCCGCGUGAAGGAUGAAGGGGCUCUGCCUUGUAAACUUCUUUUGUCUGGGGCGAAAAAGCUCGAUUUAUCGAGAACUGACGGUACCAGAAGAAUAAGCACCGGCUAACUCCGUGCCAGCAGCCGCGGUAAUACGGAGGGUGCCAGCGUUAUCCGGAAUCACUGGGUUUAAAGGGGGCGUAGUCAGCCAGGUAUGAAAGGCUGUGGCUUAACCAUGGAAUUGCCAUUGAUACUGCAGAGCUGGAAUGAGGUGGAGGUUGGCGGAAUGUGACAUGUAGCGGUGAAAUGCUUAGAUAUGUCAUGGAACACCGAUUGCGAAGGCAGCUGACUGGACCUAUAUUGACGCUGAGGCACGAAAGCGUGGGGAGCGAACAGGAUUAGAUACCGUGUAGUC